This 1215-nucleotide long non-coding RNA is filed under the name Homo sapiens (human). RNAcentral describes it as "long non-coding RNA NONHSAT175436.1". The record is from RNAcentral. Lineage: Eukaryota; Metazoa; Chordata; Mammalia; Primates; Hominidae.
GGCCGCCGACCUCCUCUGGUGUCUUUCCCGGAGUGGUGGGCUUUUCUCCGGUCUUGGGGGCGUGCGGGGGUGGGGGACACCUGUUCUUCUGGACUUCUUGUCCGGAAGAUUGCUACCUCUGCCUUCAGUCUUAGCUGCGAGAGUUUAAAAAGCCAGGCUGCUGAGAACUAGCCCUAGACCUCUGCGUGAGGGUUCUUCUGCCGAAGACAUCACCAGUGUGUGGAGCCUGCCACACCCACCCGCUGCCAAACCACGGCCUUUACCUGUGUCUUCCGGUGUUUCCCGUGCGACCCAUCCUGUGGGAGUGCCUCGUGGGCUGCCCCAGAGUUCACCCCACACUCAGCAGCACCAAUGGUGAAGAUGACAAGAUCGAAGACUUUCCAGGCAUAUCUGCCCUCCUGCCACCGGACCUACAGCUGCAUUCACUGCAGAGCUCACUUGGCCAAUCAUGAUGAACUAAUUUCCAAGUCAUUCCAAGGAAGUCAAGGACGAGCAUACCUCUUUAACUCAGUAGUUAAUGUGGGCUGUGGGCCUGCAGAAGAGCGAGUGUUGCUAACAGGACUGCAUGCAGUCGCAGACAUUUACUGUGAAAACUGCAAAACCACUCUGGGCUGGAAAUACGAACAUGCUUUUGAAAGCAGCCAGAAAUAUAAAGAAGGCAAAUACAUCAUUGAACUAGCACACAUGAUCAAGGACAAUGGCUGGGACUGAUUGGACAGCAUCUACCCAACCCAGUGUCCACGUGAACGCCAUUCAACCGAACAUUCUUCCCAAGCGUGAGAGAGUGACUGACACUUGGUUCCAUCCAUUUAGGGGCCUUGCCAUCCGGGGCAUCCUCCCACCCUGACGCCAUCUUUCUGGUGACCGGCCUCUAAAUCGCUGUCUCUCUGUCUCUUUGCUUUGUAUCUGUUUGUGAGUUGAUCCUGGCUUCUCUCUCUGUUCUAGUUUUGGCUGAAAACAAAACAACAAAAGGAACAGAUCCUUGACCGCAUGGCGGCAGCCCACCUUGGUAAGGGCCCCAGGGCCCAUGCGAGAGCUGCCUGAUGGCCUCUUGUCAGGAGAGCAGUGGCACGGGGGCGUGAGGAAGAGGGAAAGGGGAAACUCUAAGGGUCCUGGCGCGGGGAAGGGGUGGAAGGGUGGAGGUAGGAACAAAAUUGCGCCGCUCCUGGAGACCUGAUAACUUAGGCUUGAAAUAAUUGACUUGUCUAAAAGGAC